GAGAAAGCUUGGAUCAAAAUGGUCAGGGUUCAACUACAGUCACUUAACCACAUUCAGGUUUAAAUGCAAUUGAUAAAAACCAGCAGAUAUUUGCACCGUACACUCCAAAAGAUGAAUCUUUUACUUGUAUAGGAAACCCACAACCACCCAAGGAGGGGACAUCUAGCAAACCUGAUGUUCUAGAUACAAUAAAAUCAGAUGUAAUCUCUGAUAAUCCAUCGACUCAGAACAUAGUGAGCAGCGAACAAUUCUCAAACCUUACAGUUUCUUUAGCUCGGCUUCUUGAAAGUGGGAAACAACUUCUUGAACUAUAUGCUGCUCUGACUGGUUCAAACCCAAUGGGAUUCAUGUAAUCAUUCCUUUCCAAUUCUGUUGGUCCUGCUGAUUUUCCAGCUCCAGUAUCCAGUGAUCCAAAGUCGGCAGUCGGAUCUCAAAAGCAGUAUGAUCCUGUAAGUGGUAGCAUGGAGCUAACUAAAUCUGAAAUUAGUAAUCUACCAGGUGAGGUCAUACCAAAUUCUCCAACACAAUAAAUGAAGGCUCAGAUAUUCUUCCCACUAUUUC
This 561-nucleotide long non-coding RNA is filed under the name Panax ginseng (ginseng). Its description in RNAcentral is "long non-coding RNA (PGIN_LNC008323)". Lineage: Eukaryota; Viridiplantae; Streptophyta; Magnoliopsida; Apiales; Araliaceae. The record is from RNAcentral.